UGGGGGAAACCCUGAUCCAGCCAUCCCGCGUGUGCGAUGAAGGCCUUCGGGUUGUAAAGCACUUUUGGCAGGAAAGAAACGUCGCGGGUUAAUACCUCGCGAAACUAACGGUACCUGCAGAAUAAGCACCGGCUAACUACGUGCCAGCAGCCGCGGUAAU
RNAcentral lists this ribosomal RNA (160 nucleotides) under uncultured Achromobacter sp. Its description in RNAcentral is "partial 16S ribosomal RNA". It matches the Rfam family "Bacterial small subunit ribosomal RNA", at positions 372 to 524 of the family's 1533-position model. Lineage: Bacteria; Pseudomonadati; Pseudomonadota; Betaproteobacteria; Burkholderiales; Alcaligenaceae. The record is from RNAcentral.